GCGGCACUAGCUCAGUGGUAGAGCACAACCUUGCCAAGGUUGGGGUCAAGAGUUCGAACCUCUUGUGCCGCUCCA
RNAcentral lists this transfer RNA (75 nucleotides) under Psychromonas marina. RNAcentral's name for it is "tRNA-Gly". It matches the Rfam family "tRNA". From Rfam's summary of the family: Transfer RNA (tRNA) molecules are approximately 80 nucleotides in length. RNAcentral also lists the same sequence under 2 other names. Lineage: Bacteria; Pseudomonadati; Pseudomonadota; Gammaproteobacteria; Alteromonadales; Psychromonadaceae. The record is from RNAcentral.